Molecule: ribosomal RNA, 253 nt
Filed under: uncultured bacterium
Lineage: Bacteria
Description: partial 16S ribosomal RNA
Rfam family: Bacterial small subunit ribosomal RNA
Source: RNAcentral
UACGUAGGGGACGAGCGUUGUCCGGAAUCAUUGGGCGUAAAGCGCGCGUAGGCGGCCCGGGAAGUCGGAUGUGAAAUCCCGGGGCUCAACCCCGGGCCUGCAUCCGAUACUCCCGGGCUGGAGGCAGGUAGGGGAGAUCGGAAUUCCUGGUGUAGCGGUGAAAUGCGCAGAUAUCAGGAGGAACACCGGUGGCGAAGGCGGAUCUCUGGGCCUUGCCUGACGCUGAGGCGCGAAAGCUAGGGGAGCGAACAGG